Molecule: ribosomal RNA, 327 nt
Filed under: uncultured eukaryote
Lineage: Eukaryota
Description: partial 18S ribosomal RNA
Rfam family: Eukaryotic small subunit ribosomal RNA
Source: RNAcentral
CCCUUAGAUGUUCUGGGCCGCACGCGCGCUACACUGACGAAUGCAACGAGCUUAUAACCUUGGCCGAAAGGUCUGGGUAAUCUCCAAAUUUCGUCGUGAUGGGGAUAGAUUAUUGCAAUUAUUAAUCUUCAACAAGGAAUGCCUAGUAAGCGCAAGUCAUCAGCUUGCGUUGAUUACGUCCCUGCCCUUUGUACACACCGCCCGUCGCUCCUACCGAUUGAAUGGUCCGGUGAAGCGUUCGGACCGUGGCCUUUGGACGGUUCGCCGUCUGUUGGCUGCGGGAAGUUCGUUAAACCUUAUCAUUUAGAGGAAGGAGAANUCGUAACA